Molecule: small RNA, 31 nt
Filed under: Bombyx mori (domestic silkworm)
Lineage: Eukaryota; Metazoa; Arthropoda; Insecta; Lepidoptera; Bombycidae
Description: ovarian small RNA-30043
Source: RNAcentral
UCUGUGCGUCUGUGGAACUCAGUUCCACACU